CGCAAGCCUGACCCAGCAACGCCGCGUGAAGGAAGAAGGCUUUCGGGUUGUAAACUUCUUUUGUCGGGGACGAAACAAAUGACGGUACCCGACGAAUAAGCCACGGCUAACUACGUGCCAGCAGCCGCGGUAAUACGUAGGUGGCAAGCGUUAUCCGGAUUUACUGGGUGUAAAGGGCGUGUAGGCGGGAUUGCAAGUCAGAUGUGAAAACUGGGGGCUCAACCUCCAGCCUGCAUUUGAAACUGUAGUUCUUGAGUGCUGGAGAGGCAAUCGGAAUUCCGUGU
Molecule: ribosomal RNA, 284 nt
Filed under: uncultured Oscillospiraceae bacterium
Lineage: Bacteria; Bacillati; Bacillota; Clostridia; Eubacteriales; Oscillospiraceae
Description: partial 16S ribosomal RNA
Rfam family: Bacterial small subunit ribosomal RNA
Source: RNAcentral